AUUGAACGCUGGCGGCAGGCCUAACACAUGCAAGUCGAGCGGAUGAAGGGAGCUUGCUCCUGGAUUCAGCGGCGGACGGGUGAGUAAUGCCUAGGAAUCUGCCUGGUAGUGGGGGAUAACGUCCGGAAACGGGCGCUAAUACCGCAUACGUCCUGAGGGAGAAAGUGGGGGAUCUUCUGACCUCACGCUAUCAGAUGAGCCUAGGUCGGAUUAGCUAGUUGGUGGGGUAAAGGCCUACCAAGGCGACGAUCCGUAACUGGUCUGAGAGGAUGAUCAGUCACACUGGAACUGAGACACGGUCCAGACUCCUACGGGAGGCAGCAGUGGGGAAUAAUGGACAAUGGGCGAAAGCCUGAUCCAGCCAUGCCGCGUGUGUGAAGAAGGUCUUCGGAUUGUAAAGCACUUUAAGUUGGGAGGAAGGGCAGUAAGUUAAUACCUUGCUGUUUUGACGUUACCAACAGAAUAAGCACCGGCUAACUUCGUG
This 484-nucleotide ribosomal RNA is filed under the name uncultured bacterium. RNAcentral's name for it is "partial 16S ribosomal RNA". It matches the Rfam family "Bacterial small subunit ribosomal RNA", at positions 30 to 507 of the family's 1533-position model. The record is from RNAcentral.